This 202-nucleotide ribosomal RNA is filed under the name uncultured bacterium. RNAcentral's name for it is "partial 16S ribosomal RNA". It matches the Rfam family "Bacterial small subunit ribosomal RNA", at positions 524 to 724 of the family's 1533-position model. The record is from RNAcentral.
UACGAAGGGGGCUAGCGUUGCUCGGAAUCACUGGGCGUAAAGGGUGCGUAGGCGGGUCUUUAAGUCAGGGGUGAAAUCCUGGAGCUCAACUCCAGAACUGCCUUUGAUACUGAGGAUCUUGAGUUCGGGAGAGGUGAGUGGAACUGCGAGUGUAGAGGUGAAAUUCGUAGAUAUUCGCAAGAACACCAGUGGCGAAGGGCGG